AGGUCCUGCCUGCCCAGAUGACCCACUUAAACGGCCGCGGUACCCUAACCGUGCAAAGGUAGCGUAAUCACUUGUCCCUUAAAUGAGGACUCGUAUGAACGGCCAAAUGAGGGCCCUACUGUCUCCUAGCGCCCCCCAAUGAAUCUGAUCUCCCAGUCCAAAAGCUGAGAUACCAAUAUAAGACGAGAAGACCCUGUGGAGCUUUAAACACACCUGCUACCGACAAAAUACUUCCACAGUAGCAACGUUUUAAGUUGGGGCGACUACGGAGAAAAACCAAACCUCCAUGAACCAGGCUAACAACCACCCAAGGAAAACCAGCCAAACAAAACCAUGACCCAGUAAAACUGACCACCGAACCAAGUUACCCCAGGGAUAACAGCGCCAUCCCCUUAAAGAGUCCAUAUCGACAAGGGGGCUUACGACCUCGAUGUUGGAUCAGGACACCCCGGCGGCGCAGCCACUGCCAACGGUUCGUUUGUUCAACGAUUAAUGUCCUACGUGAUCUGAGUUCAGACCA
Molecule: ribosomal RNA, 520 nt
Filed under: Cnemaspis kolhapurensis (Kolhapur day gecko)
Lineage: Eukaryota; Metazoa; Chordata; Lepidosauria; Squamata; Gekkonidae
Description: partial 16S ribosomal RNA
Rfam family: Bacterial large subunit ribosomal RNA
Source: RNAcentral